This 216-nucleotide ribosomal RNA is filed under the name Glomeromycotina sp. RNAcentral describes it as "partial small subunit ribosomal RNA". The stretch from base 40 to 216 matches the Rfam family "Eukaryotic small subunit ribosomal RNA", at positions 686 to 864 of the family's 1831-position model. Lineage: Eukaryota; Fungi; Glomeromycota. The record is from RNAcentral.
GGGUCAGUAGGUUGGUCGUGCCACCGGUACGUACUGGUCUCACUGAUUCCUCCUUCCUGAAGAACCGUAAUGCCAUUAAUUUGGUGUUGCGGGGAAACAGGACUGAUACUUUGAAAAAAUUAGAGUGUUUAAAGCAAGCUAACGCUUGAAUACAUUAGCAUGGAAUAAUGAAAUAGGACGAUCGAUCCUAUUUUGUUAGUUUCUAGGAUUGACGUA